GACGAACGCUGGCGGCGUGCUUAACACAUGCAAGUCGAACGGAAAGGCCCUGCUUUUGUGGGGUGCUCGAGUGGCGAACGGGUGAGUAACACGUGAGUAACCUGCCCUUGACUUUGGGAUAACUUCAGGAAACUGGGGCUAAUACCGGAUAGGAGCUCCUGCUGCAUGGUGGGGGUUGGAAAGUUUCGGCGGUUGGGGAUGGACUCGCGGCUUAUCAGCUUGUUGGUGGGGUAGUGGCUUACCAAGGCUUUGACGGGUAGCCGGCCUGAGAGGGUGACCGGACACAUGGGGACUGAGAUACGGCCCAGAAUACUACGGGAGGCAGCAGGGGGGAAUAUUGCAAAAUGGGCGGAAGCCUGAUGAAGCAACGCCGCGUGCGGGAUGACGGCCUUCGGGUUGUAAACCGCUUUCGCCUGUGACGAAGAGUGAGUGACGGUAAUGGGUAAAGAAGCACCGGCUAACUACGUG
RNAcentral lists this ribosomal RNA (468 nucleotides) under uncultured bacterium. RNAcentral describes it as "partial 16S ribosomal RNA". It matches the Rfam family "Bacterial small subunit ribosomal RNA", at positions 28 to 507 of the family's 1533-position model. The record is from RNAcentral.